AGACUUCAUUUCCCAGCCUCCAUUGCGUGAGGGUCCCGAAGCGGAGCCCACGGGCGCGAUGCUGUGCACUCUGGGCUUUGUAGUCCGUUCGCGUUGAGCGCGCUCUGAGCGGGUUCGCACUCUCCAGCUGGCAGCGGGGGGCCCUAGACAGACUUCAAAUGCUUGGCUGGUGGUGGGGUUAGCCUUCAACUCCCUCCACCCAAAAGCCUGCAGGGCGGGUCUUGCCCUGGCCUAUCUUUAGCUUCCUCAGGGUCUGCGUGGGAAGUUUGGUGGAAACCUCAAAAAGAGUUGACUGCGUUUUGAGCGGCCAGCCUGGGAACUUUCCAGGUUCCUUGUCCUCAGGGUCUUCGCUCCUCAGGGAAAGGGCAAGCCAGUCAUCCCACUGUACUCGGGAAGGAUGUACCGGGCAUCAAUUUACGAAGCCAAGAGAUCUUGAAAAGUGAGACUAUUUGCAGAGAUCGAGGAAACGAUCAAGGGCUUUUCACAAUAGUCAGAUGGGCUGAUUUGGCGAGGUUCUGCCAAUCCUGUCUGGGACUGCCAUUGCUGAAGCUUCUUUAGGUAGAGCUAGCAUGUGAAACACAAGAGGGGAAGCGAGAUACCUUUUGAAGAAAAGCUCAACAGUUUUGCAGAAAAGACUCCCAAAUCCUGACAUUUGACUGUUCUCUGAUGGAGAGCUGGCCUUGGUUUGAUUACGCUUCAGUAAAGCCAAACAACAAACAACAAGCAGUCAUCAGAACCCUCUCCCUUACACAGAGCUUGCCCUAAACACUGAAGGACUUUUGUCAUGCCCACGUACUGUGCUUUGCAGAAAGCACCCAACUUGAAAGACACAAAGAGAAUACAUCAACAGAUAAAAAGAAUUUGGAGAAGAGUAGAGACAUUACAGGGAACAGAAAAGAUGUUCUAAUUAUGACUAACAUCAUCAAAGAGAAAAGACAUUGUAUCAUCAAAACAGAAACUGCUUUGAAUGGAGAUGCUAUAGCAACAGAGAACAAUGAGAAAACAAAAAAUGUGGAAAUUAAAAAUAUGUCAGAUGAAAUUUAAAAUUCAAAAGAAGCAUGGAGAGAUAAAGAUGAGGAAAUUUCUUUGAAGUAUCUUUUUAAAAGAAGGAUAUAGGAAGAGAUCACAGGAGAUUAGAAAAUUUCAAGAUCAAUAUAGAAGGUACACAAACUGACUGCUGUUAAUUCUACAAGGGCCAUAUAUAAACUGAGGGAAGGAUAUUAUUAAGGAAAUAGUGAAAGAAAUGUUUCCAGAGCUGAGAGAAAUGAACCUCCAGUUUCAUUCUAAGACAUAUGAUAGUGAAAUGAUAAUGAAAAUGUUAUAUCCUAUAAAUAAUGACAAAAUUCUAGAAACUUAUCAAGAGAUAUAGGCUUCUCAACAAAUGACAAUGGAGCAAUUCCUUUGAAAUUAUUUCGGAAAAUGAUCACCAAUUUAGAACUCCAAGAUGUGUCAUAGCAGCAGUCAGCUGUGUGAAUUGAUUUUCAGGACUGCAAAAUCACAUAACAUUGACCUCCAAUAAACCCCUCUCAGAAUACUGCUACAAGAUAGGCUUCUUUAUAACAAAGAGGAGGAGCCUAGAUGGAGAUAUAUGCCUAUAAUUUCAAUACUGGGUGA
Molecule: long non-coding RNA, 1614 nt
Organism: Arvicola amphibius (Eurasian water vole)
Lineage: Eukaryota; Metazoa; Chordata; Mammalia; Rodentia; Cricetidae
Exons: 3
Source: RefSeq, a predicted model, not a curated record